UCAGUUGUGAAAGUUUGCGGCUCAACCGUAAAAUUGCAGUUGAUACUGGAUGUCUUGAGUGCAGUUGAGGCAGGCGGAAUUCGUGGUGUAGCGGUGAAAUGCUUAGAUAUCACGAAGAACUCCGAUUGCGAAGGCAGCCUGCUAAGCUGCAACUGACAUUGAGGCUCGAAAGUGUGGGUAUCAAACAGGAUUAGAUACCCUGGUAGUCCACACGGUAAACGAUGAAUACUCGCUGUUUGCGAUAUACGGCAAGCGGCCAAGCGAAAGCGUUAAGUAUUCCACCUGGGGAGUACGCCGGCAACGGUGAAACUCAAAGGAAUUGACGGGGGCCCGCACAAGCGGAGGAACAUGUGGUUUAAUUCGAUGAUACGCGAGGAACCUUACCCGGGCUUAAAUUGCACUCGAAUGAUCCGGAAACGGUUCAGCUAGCAAUAGCGAGUGUGAAGGUGCUGCAUGGUUGUCGUCAGCUCGUGCCGUGAGGUGUCGGCUUAAG
RNAcentral lists this ribosomal RNA (493 nucleotides) under uncultured bacterium. RNAcentral describes it as "bacterial SSU rRNA". It matches the Rfam family "Bacterial small subunit ribosomal RNA", at positions 588 to 1084 of the family's 1533-position model. The record is from RNAcentral.